CAGGUCAAGCGUGUGCUCCCGGUCCACCACAGUGCCCAGGAGCCCGUCAAAGUGCUCGAAUGCAGCCUGGGCCAUCUCCUCGUGAUCAGACAGAACCUGCCCAUCGACUAUGAGGCUAUGCACGCGAUUCUUCUGGCGGCGGUAAGUGCACUGCCGGUGGAAGAAGCUCGUGUUCGCAUCUCCCUCCGCGAGGAAGGUGAUACGGGCGCGCUGCCGCGCGAUAGUGCGCUCCAGGGAGGCGAGCCCAAGGUAUGACAGCUUGAGCUGCCUGCGC
RNAcentral lists this long non-coding RNA (274 nucleotides) under Hordeum vulgare. RNAcentral's name for it is "long non-coding RNA (HVUL_LNC019496)". Lineage: Eukaryota; Viridiplantae; Streptophyta; Magnoliopsida; Poales; Poaceae. The record is from RNAcentral.